RNAcentral lists this ribosomal RNA (393 nucleotides) under uncultured bacterium. Its description in RNAcentral is "partial 16S ribosomal RNA". It matches the Rfam family "Bacterial small subunit ribosomal RNA", at positions 523 to 918 of the family's 1533-position model. The record is from RNAcentral.
AUACGGAGGAUCCGAGCGUUAUCCGGAUUUAUUGGGUUUGAAGGGUGCGCGGGCGGGAGAUUAAGUCGGCGGUGAAAUUUUGCCGCUCAACUGUAAAAGUGCCUUCGAAACUGGUUUCCUUGAGUGUAGAUGAAGUAGGCGGAAUUUGUGGUGUAGCGGUGAAAUGCAUAGAGAUCAUGAGGAACUCCGAUUGCGCAGGCAGCUUACUAAACUACUACUGACGCUCAGGCACGAAGGCGUGGGGAUCAAACAGGAUUAGCUACCCUGGUAGUCCACGCAGUAAACGAUGAUUACUAGCUGUUUGCGAUACAAUGUAAGCGGCUGAGCGAAAGCGUUAAGUAAUCCACCUGGGGAGUACGUUCGCAAGAAUGAAACUCAAAGGAAUUGACGGGG